AACCAUUAGACAAAAAAGACUUAUAUAUAUAUAUAUAUAUAUAUAUGAUGGAUACUAAUCUAUUACAUUUGGCUCAGAUGUAUCUUCAUUGCUUUAUUUUACUGUGAAAGAGACUCAAACUCUUGCCUUAGCAAACUGCAUCACCUCAUAAUUAUAUGAUUAGUAUGAUGUUUUAUAAUUAACUUUAACAACUAGCUUGAUAAAAUAGUUAAUUC
Molecule: long non-coding RNA, 215 nt
Filed under: Musa acuminata (dwarf banana)
Lineage: Eukaryota; Viridiplantae; Streptophyta; Magnoliopsida; Zingiberales; Musaceae
Description: long non-coding RNA (MACU_LNC011055)
Source: RNAcentral